Molecule: transfer RNA, 90 nt
Filed under: Candidatus Rokubacteria bacterium GWA2_73_35
Lineage: Bacteria; Candidatus Rokuibacteriota
Also listed under: 1 other name
Description: tRNA-Ser
Rfam family: tRNA
About the family: Transfer RNA (tRNA) molecules are approximately 80 nucleotides in length.
Source: RNAcentral
GGAGGGCUAGCCUCAACUGGUAAGGCAGUGGACUUGAAAUCCACCGGGCCGCUGAGGCCCUUGGGGGUUCGAAUCCCUCGCCCUCCGCCA